RNAcentral lists this long non-coding RNA (1148 nucleotides) under Monodelphis domestica (gray short-tailed opossum). Its description in RNAcentral is "lncRNA (ENSMODG00000044656.1)". The record is from RNAcentral. Lineage: Eukaryota; Metazoa; Chordata; Mammalia; Didelphimorphia; Didelphidae.
AUGUACUUAAACAAUCCUGGGUAUGACAGCAUUCCAUCUUCAUAUCCAUUCCCCCAUUCAACCAUAAACUUCAUGAAGGCAGGGGCCCAUGCUUGUUUUCUUUCUUUCUCUCUCUCUCUCUCUCUUUCUUUCCCUCCCUCCCUCCCUCCCUCCCUCCCUUCCUUCCUUCCUUCCUUCCUUCCUUCCUUCCUUCCUUCCUUCCUUCCUUCCUUCCUUCCUUCCUUCCUUCCUUCCCCUCCCUUACCUUAUAUCUUGGAAUCAAUGCCAUGUAUUGUUUCCAAGGCAGAACUGUGGUAAGGGCUAGGCAAUGGGGGUCAAGUGACUUGCCCAGGGUCACACUGCUGGGAAGUGUCUGAGGCCAGAUUUAAACCCAGAACCUCCCGUUUCUAGGCCUGGCUCUCAAUCCACUGAGCUACCCAGCUGCCCCCCUCCCCCCCAUGCUUUAUUUCUGCUAGCACAUAGUACAAUGCUUUCUCAGCACCCAGUAGGAACUCAGUAAACAUGUAUUAACUCUCAAUUAACUAGAAGAAGAAACUCACUAAGCACUCUCCUUCCUGGAAAUGUCCCUAAAUCUUCCUGCUACCAAUAGUUUAUUAAGGAGCCCCUCAGUGGAACAUGAGCUCCUUCAGGGUGGGGAUGAUUUCAUUUUUGUACCCAUGACUCCAGUGCCCAGCAUGAUGCACUGGGGAUGCUUAAAUGCUUGUUGGAUUGACUGAACUGGAAUCAUACCGGACAGACACCGAGGGAUGAGCUUCAUGGUAGGAAUCGUAGGAAUGGAGUCUUUCAGGGCAGGGCUAACUCUAGGGAAUCCUGUCACAACAUAACCUGUAUUCACAUGCUUCAUCCAAAACAGGGACUUGAUCAGCCAAGAAGAGCAGCGCCACGCAGACCAGAAAACCUUGCCCAGACCAUUCUGUGAGCAGGGAACCUCUCGGUAGGUGAUCUCCCAGGAUGAGCCUUCCAAACCAACAACGCCCCCAAGCACCAUGUCUUCAAGAAUCAAACCAACAGUUUUUGAAGUUGGGGGAAACCUGAGCAACUGGGUGAAGCUACAACGGAGAUAAUUAAAGCCCCAAAUGGGAUGUUAUUGAGACAUGCAAAUUCAGGUUCAUUUUUUCCAAGAAUCAAUAAAUAAUUGCGAAAGAACA